GUGGGGAAUCUUGCGCAAUGGGCGAAAGCCUGACGCAGCCAUGCCGCGUGAAUGAUGAAGGUCUUAGGAUUGUAAAAUUCUUUCACCGGGGACGAUAAUGACGGUACCCGGAGAAGAAGCUCCGGCUAACUUCGUGCCAGCAGCCGCGGUAAUACGAAGGGGGCUAGCGUUGCUCGGAAUUACUGGGCGUAAAGGGCGCGUAGGCGGACAGCUUAGUCAGAGGUGAAAGCCCAGGGCUCAACCUUGGAAUUGCCUUUGAUACUGGCUGUCUUGAGUUUGGGAGAGGGGAGUGGAACUCCGGGUGUAGAGGUGAAAUUCGUAGAUAUUCGGAAGAACACCAGUGGCGAAGGCGACUCACUGGCCCAAUACUGACGCUGAGGCGCGAAAGCGUGGGGAGCAAACAGGAUUAGAAACCCUGGUAGUCC
Molecule: ribosomal RNA, 425 nt
Filed under: uncultured bacterium
Lineage: Bacteria
Description: partial 16S ribosomal RNA
Rfam family: Bacterial small subunit ribosomal RNA
Source: RNAcentral